CUUUCUCCUGCAGAGAGGCUGAGUUGGAGCAGGAGGAUGGUGCAGGACUAGACAAGGAGCCAGUGAUGGUAUAUUUUGGAAAUGGAGAUCUCUGCACAAGCCAGGUCUCUUGGCACACGUUAUCCCGCUCCUUUCCCAUGCUACUUCGCUGGAAUCACUGCAGGCAGAGGAAUGCUGCCAAGGGCUACCUGUUAGGGUCUCUCUGGAGCAUGAAGGUGACAGCUUCAGAGAGCAAUUCUAUACACUGCUGGGAUGCUCUGAGUCUAUAAGCUUUGAUCCCAUCCAAUUAAGCCCAAGGAUUCAGGAAGUUACCACUUUGCAGAGGAGGAAAUUCAGUGAUCUCCUGCCACCUGGCUGAUUGCUUACCACUGCACAAGGCUGUCAUCAUCAAACAAGCUGCUGAACACUUACUUCCCAAAAG
RNAcentral lists this long non-coding RNA (421 nucleotides) under Parus major (Great Tit). RNAcentral's name for it is "lncRNA (ENSPMJG00000001324.1)". Lineage: Eukaryota; Metazoa; Chordata; Aves; Passeriformes; Paridae. The record is from RNAcentral.